CGGGCGUUAAGUUGCAGGGUAUAGACCCGAAACCCGGUGAUCUAGCCAUGGGCAGGUUGAAGGUUGGGUAACACUAACUGGAGGACCGAACCGACUAAUGUUGAAAAAUUAGCGGAUGACCUGUGGCUGGGGGUGAAAGGCCAAUCAAACCGGGAGAUAGCUGGUUCUCCCCGAAAGCUAUUUAGGUAGCGCCUCGUGAAUUCAUCUCCGGGGGUAGAGCACUGUUUCGGCUAGGGGGCCAUCCCGGCUUACCAACCCGAUGCAAACUGCGAAUACCGGAGAAUGUUAUCACGGGAGACACACGGCGGGUGCUAACGUCCGUCGUGAAGAGGGAAACAACCCAGACCGCCAGCUAAGGUCCCAAAGUCAUGGUUAAGUGGGAAACGAUGUGGGAAGGCCCAGACAGCCAGGAUGUUGGCUUAGAAGCAGCCAUCAUUUAAAGAAAGCGUAAUAGCUCACUGGUCGAGUCGGCCUGCGCGGAAGAUGUAACGGGGCUAAACCAUGCACCGAAGCUGCGGCAGCGACACUGUGUGUUGUUGGGUAGGGGAGCGUUCUGUAAGCCUGUGAAGGUGUGUCGUGAGGCAUGCUGGAGGUAUCAGAAGUGCGAAUGCUGACAUAAGUAACGAUAAAGCGGGUGAAAAGCCCGCUCGCCGGAAGACCAAGGGUUCCUGUCCAACGUUAAUCGGGGCAGGGUGAGUCGACCCCUAAGGCGAGGCCGAAAGGCGUAGUCGAUGGGAAACGGGUUAAUAUUCCCGUACUUGGUGUUACUGCGAAGGGGGGACGGAGAAGGCUAUGUUGGCCGGGCGACGGUUGUCCCGGUUUAAGCGUGUAGGUGUGUGUUCCAGGUAAAUCCGGUUCACUUUAACACUGAGGCGUGACGACGAGGCACUACGGUGCUGAAGCAACAAAUGCCCUGCUUCCAGGAAAAGCCUCUAAGCAUCAGGUAACAUCAAAUCGUACCCCAAACCGACACAGGUGGUCAGGUAGAGAAUACCAAGGCGCUUGAGAGAACUCGGGUGAAGGAACUAGGCAAAAUGGUGCCGUAACUUCGGGAGAAGGCACGCUGACACGUAGGUGAAGUGAUUUACUCAUGGAGCUGAAGUCAGUCGAAGAUACCAGCUGGCUGCAACUGUUUAUUAAAAACACAGCACUGUGCAAACACGAAAGUGGACGUAUACGGUGUGACGCCUGCCCGGUGCCGGAAGGUUAAUUGAUGGGGUCAGCGCAAGCGAAGCUCCUGAUCGAAGCCCCGGUAAACGGCGGCCGUAACUAUAACGGUCCUAAGGUAGCGAAAUUCCUUGUCGGGUAAGUUCCGACCUGCACGAAUGGCGUAAUGAUGGCCAGGCUGUCUCCACCCGAGACUCAGUGAAAUUGAACUCGCUGUGAAGAUGCAGUGUACCCGCGGCAAGACGGAAAGACCCCGUGAACCUUUACUAUAGCUUGACACUGAACAUUGAGCCUUGAUGUGUAGGAUAGGUGGGAGGCUUUGAAGUGUGGACGCCAGUCUGCAUGGAGCCGACCUUGAAAUACCACCCUUUAAUGUUUGAUGUUCUAACGUGGACCCGUUACCCGGGUUGCGGACAGUGUCUGGUGGGUAGUUUGACUGGGGCGGUCUCCUCCUAAAGAGUAACGGAGGAGCACGAAGGUUGGCUAAUCCUGGUCGGACAUCAGGAGGUUAGUGCAAUGGCAUAAGCCAGCUUGACUGCGAGCGUGACGGCGCGAGCAGGUGCGAAAGCAGGUCAUAGUGAUCCGGUGGUUCUGAAUGGAAGGGCCAUCGCUCAACGGAUAAAAGGUACUCCGGGGAUAACAGGCUGAUACCGCCCAAGAGUUCAUAUCGACGGCGGUGUUUGGCACCUCGAUGUCGGCUCAUCACAUCCUGGGGCUGAAGUAGGUCCCAAGGGUAUGGCUGUUCGCCAUUUAAAGUGGUACGCGAGCUGGGUUUAGAACGUCGUGAGACAGUUCGGUCCCUAUCUGCCGUGGGCGCUGGAGAACUGAGGGGGGCUGCUCCUAGUACGAGAGGACCGGAGUGGACGCAUCACUGGUGUUCGGGUUGUCAUGCCAAUGGCACUGCCCGGUAGCUAAAUGCGGAAGAGAUAAGUGCUGAAAGCAUCUAAGCACGAAACUUGCCCCGA
RNAcentral lists this ribosomal RNA (2132 nucleotides) under Salmonella enterica. Its description in RNAcentral is "partial 23S ribosomal RNA". It matches the Rfam family "Bacterial large subunit ribosomal RNA", at positions 689 to 2802 of the family's 2925-position model. Lineage: Bacteria; Pseudomonadati; Pseudomonadota; Gammaproteobacteria; Enterobacterales; Enterobacteriaceae. The record is from RNAcentral. RNAcentral also lists the same sequence under 2 other names.